This 262-nucleotide ribosomal RNA is filed under the name uncultured prokaryote. Its description in RNAcentral is "partial 16S ribosomal RNA". It matches the Rfam family "Bacterial small subunit ribosomal RNA", at positions 524 to 784 of the family's 1533-position model. The record is from RNAcentral.
UACGUAGGGUGCGAGCGUUGUCCGGAAUUAUUGGGCGUAAAGAGCUUGUAGGCGGUUUGUCGCGUCUGCUGUGAAAAUCCGGGGCUCAACCCCGGACUUGCAGUGGGUACGGGCAGACUUGAGUGCUGUAGGGGAGACUGGGAAUUCCUGGUGUAGCGGUGAAAUGCGCAGAUAUCAGGAGGAACACCAAUGGCGAAGGCAGGUCUCUGGGCAGUUACUGACGCUGAGGAGCGAAAGCAUGGGUAGCGAACAGGAUUAGAUA